RNAcentral lists this transfer RNA (68 nucleotides) under Marmota monax (woodchuck). RNAcentral describes it as "tRNA.Glu". The stretch from base 5 to 65 matches the Rfam family "tRNA", at positions 6 to 65 of the family's 71-position model. From Rfam's summary of the family: Transfer RNA (tRNA) molecules are approximately 80 nucleotides in length. Their secondary structure includes four short double-helical elements and three loops (D, anti-codon, and T loops). The record is from RNAcentral. Lineage: Eukaryota; Metazoa; Chordata; Mammalia; Rodentia; Sciuridae.
GGAUUGUGGCUCACUGGUAGAGUGCUUGCCUCUCAUGCAUGAAGCCCUGGGUUUGAUCCUCAGCACCA